GCGGGUGUCGUAUAACGGCUAUUACAUGGCCUUCCCAAGGCCGGAAUCAGAGUUCGACUCUCUGCACCCGCACCA
This 75-nucleotide transfer RNA is filed under the name Candidatus Saccharimonadota bacterium. Its description in RNAcentral is "Candidatus Saccharibacteria bacterium tRNA-Gly". It matches the Rfam family "tRNA". Rfam says of the family: Transfer RNA (tRNA) molecules are approximately 80 nucleotides in length. Their secondary structure includes four short double-helical elements and three loops (D, anti-codon, and T loops). Further hydrogen bonds mediate the characteristic L-shaped molecular structure. tRNAs have two regions of fundamental functional importance: the anti-codon, which is responsible for specific mRNA codon recognition, and the 3' end, to which the tRNAs corresponding amino acid is attached (by aminoacyl-tRNA synthetases). tRNAs cope with the degeneracy of the genetic code in two manners: having more than one tRNA (with a specific anti-codon) for a particular amino acid; and 'wobble' base-pairing, i.e. permitting non-standard base-pairing at the 3rd anti-codon position. RNAcentral also lists the same sequence under 1 other name. Lineage: Bacteria; Candidatus Saccharimonadota. The record is from RNAcentral.